This 439-nucleotide ribosomal RNA is filed under the name uncultured bacterium. RNAcentral describes it as "bacterial SSU rRNA". It matches the Rfam family "Bacterial small subunit ribosomal RNA", at positions 272 to 721 of the family's 1533-position model. The record is from RNAcentral.
GGCGACGACGGGUAGCCGGCCUGAGAGGCGACCGGCCACACUGGGACUGAGACACGGCCCAGACUCCGUACGGGAGGCAGCAGGUGGGGAAUAUUGCGCAAGUGGGCGAAAGCCUGACGCAGCAACGCCGCGUGAGGGAUGAAGGCCUUCGGGUUGUAAACCUCUUUCAGCAGGGAAGAAGCGAAAGUGACGGUACCUGCAGAAGAAGCACCGGCUAACUACGUGCCAGCAGCCGCGGUAAUACGUAGGGUGCAAGCGUUGUCCGGAAUUAUUGGGCGUAAAGAGCUCGUAGGCGGUUUGUCGCGUCUGCUGUGAAAACCUGGGGCUUAACUCCGGGCCUGCAGUGGGUACGGGCAGACUAGAGUGCGGUAGGGGAGACUGGAAUUCCUGGUGUAGCGGUGAAAUGCGCAGAUAUCAGGAGGAACACCGAUGGCGAAGG